This 1243-nucleotide ribosomal RNA is filed under the name uncultured prokaryote. RNAcentral's name for it is "partial 16S ribosomal RNA". It matches the Rfam family "Bacterial small subunit ribosomal RNA", at positions 277 to 1532 of the family's 1533-position model. The record is from RNAcentral.
CGAUAUCUAGGGGGUCUGAGAGGAUGAUCCCCCACACUGGUACUGAGACACGGACCAGACUCCUACGGGAGGCAGCAGUGAGGAAUAUUGGUCAAUGGACGCAAGUCUGAACCAGCCAUGCCGCGUGCAGGAUGAAUGCCCUAUGGGUUGUGAACUGCUUUUAUAUAGGAAGAAACCUUUUUAUUUAUAAAAAGCUGACGGUACUAUAAGAAUAAGCAUCGGCUAACUCCGUGCCAGCAGCCGCGGUAAUACGGAGGAUGCAAGCGUUAUCCGGAUUUAUUGGGUUUAAAGGGUUCGUAGGCGGGGAAAUAAGUCAGUGGUGAAAGCCUGCAGCUCAACUGUAGAACUGCCUUUGAUACUGGUUUUCUUGAAUAUAGUUGAGGUAGGCGGAAUGUGUAGUGUAGCGGUGAAAUGCUUAGAGAUUACACAGAACUCCGAUUGCGAAGGCAGCUUACUAAACUAUUAUUGACGCUGAGGCACGAAAGCGUGGGGAGCGAACAGGAUUAGAUACCCUGGUAGUCCACGCCGUAAACGAUGAUCACUAGUUGUGUGCGAUAUAUAGUACGUGACUGAGCGAAAGCAUUAAGUGAUCCACCUGGGGAGUACGUUGGCAACAAUGAAACUCAAAGGAAUUGACGGGGGCCCGCACAAGCGGAGGAACAUGUGGUUUAAUUCGAUGAUACGCGAGGAACCUUACCUGGGCUUAAAUGUAGAGUGAUUUACUGGGAAACUAGUAUUCCUUCGGGCACUUUACAAGGUGCUGCAUGGUUGUCGUCAGCUCGUGCCGUGAGGUGUCGGGUUAAGUCCCAUAACGAGCGCAACCCUCAUCUUUAGUUGCCAGCGAGUAAUGUCGGGGACUCUAAAGAAACUGCCGGUGUAAACCGAGAGGAAGGUGGGGAUGACGUCAAGUCAGCACGGUCCUUAUGUCCAGGGCGACACACGUGUUACAAUGGCCAGUACAAAGAGCAGCUACAUGGUGACAUGAUGCUAAUCUCCAAAACUGGUCUCAGUUCGGAUUGAAGUCUGCAACUCGACUUCAUGAAGUUGGAUUCGCUAGUAAUCGCGCAUCAGCCAUGGCGCGGUGAAUACGUUCCCGGGCCUUGUACACACCGCCCGUCAAGCCAUGGAAGCUGGGGGUACCUGAAGUCCGUAACCGCAAGGAGCGGCCUAGGGUAAAACUGGUGACUGGGGCUAAGUCGUAACAAGGUAGCCGUACCGGAAGGUGUGGCUGGAACACCUCCUU